GAAAAUAUUAACUGCUAUGUUUUCCUUAUCCUUCUACUCCCUACUCCCCACUGUUUUCCUUACCCACUUUCAGUGAAAGCACACCCUCUUUUGGAACACACAGCCUUCCACUUUGUUUUCCUUUUUAAGACCAUGACUUAACACUUCCACUAGACUAGAACUAAGCCUACCAUGGGCACAGCCACAACCAGUUCUGGAAUCACCCCCCUCCACUAGGCCCCCUACCUUGUGUAUGAUGUAGAUUGGCUUGAAUGAAUGAAUGAAUACCAAUGACUUUUGUUAUAAAUGGAAUAAAAUUUAUUAAGUAAUAUAUAUACAAAAACGGUGCCUGCUUUAAUAUACGUUUAGUUCAAAACUGGCCCUUGCUUUUUCUGCCCACAUCAGUGGUCCCCAUGUUCCACGGACAGGGACUGUCAGAAUAAUUGGUUUUGCAACACAGAGCAUGCAAAAAAGGCUAAUUGAUGAUGACAUUCCAGUAGCCAGCAACCCUUGAAGGCAGGAAGGAUUUUUUUUUUAAAGCAUCAUCUAUAUGUUUAAUGGAAUGUUCAACCCUCCUCCUUAAGAGUUUUAUUUUCUAAUUUCCCCAAACUACAUGUCUAGUUUCUACAUGUUGGUUGUCUCGUGGUGACAGUUUCAGGCAUUUUCCCAAAUGCUAAUGAUACAAAGGAUGAAUGAUAACAUGGGUAAAUUGCUGUGGAGCCAAGCUUUUGAAAAGAUAAAAUAAAACAAGAAAUGGGACUUUUCUAGCUUCUGUUCAAUUUCACUGACACAUUUCUUAUUAGCUGCUUUUGUUUUUACUCUGCGGGUAUUUAAAUUUUAGCAAAUGGAGUAGUUUCUCCCAGAGAACUACCAAUUGAGCAUGUUUCAGCUAUGGCAAGCAGUAUUUUUCUCCUAGGAAGCAGAUUAUAGUAUUGCUUGAGAAUAACUGAAAACACUGCCGAACUGGUAACUUGGUUCCCAAAUGGGCUUUUACUUGCAGGGAACAUGGAAAAGCAAGAGCGUUUGGAGUGGGCUGUUCUUUGUCCUACAUUGCAUUUCCAGCACCUCUAUGGGUGUGCCCUGCCCUCCUUCAAGGGUGACCCACAUGGCUACCACACUGCAUUUUCUAACACACACACCCAAUCAUGUCCCUCCCCUCCUAACACUGUAAUGGCUCUUCUUUACCUUCAGUGCAAAAGCCAAACUUCUAUUUCUACAGGCUCAGGUACAACCUGCACUUUCUCUUGCAGCCAUACUGAACGGACUUUCAUUAUCACUUUCUAAGUGUGCUGCGCCCCUCCUGGCCUUCAGAAUUUAUGUCUGUGUUCCCGCUGUCAAGAACCCAGAACUUUCUAAGUGUCUUCCUGUCCUUGCCCAGCUCACCUUGAAUUCCCUUCACUCCUGUCCCUCGUUCACAACUUGACUUUGAUGUCACCCCUACCAGACAUCUUCCAUACCCCCUUGCCUGGCUAGGUGUACCCUUCUGUGAUCUUCCAGUUCCAGGGACCUCCCAUAUCCCAACUACACCAUAACCCUGUAUUACCAUUCCCUUUUUUUACCAUUACCUAUUUGAUAUCCCUCUUCAGACUGCUCAGGAGAAAGAGAUGUCUCCAUCACAGCCAUGCUCUGCAGGAUGUAAUAUAACAAUGGCUCACAUAUUUGCUGAAUGCUGCUAUGGUGGUGGUAUACUGGGGAUAAAAAGUAAGACCCAGACAUAUUAGGAUCCUGGGCUCAUUUUGCUGAAGGUAGAUCCAGACAUUUAGCUUACACCCUAUUUAUACUUGAUUACUUCAUGAGUUGUUUCUCUAACAAAAACGUAAGGGGCUGCUCAACAGCCCCUAAGAAGCCUCCUGCAAGGGUCUGCAUGCAUGCAAUAGGUAAUCAAUAUAUGCUGUUAGCUAUGUGAAUCACACUUCUCUAUAGGUAGUUACUCUCUCAGUGGCCUAUCAAUGAUUAAUAGAGUUUGAGCACUUAGUUCCAAGUUAUUUUGGCAACCAAGGAUAAAACAUGAAAAAAUACAUUUACAUUAUAAAGGAAGAUCUUGCUGAUCAUGAAGACGAUGAACACUGGGAGAAUUUGCAGAGAGAGAUGGUCAAAUAGUGCCUUAGUCCACUGCAGUUUUCAGCUUGGGUCCUGAAGAUAAAUGAAAUAUCAAUUUGUCCUUGGCUUCCAUGAUGGAUCAUGACUUUGGAACAAGUAAAGGUCAUCACCGUGGUCACAAGUGGCCACCUAGGUUAAAGUUGUGAUAAUACCCAGGGCAGUAUUCCACAUUAGUUUAAGGACUUACCUAAUAGGUUCAAAUGUAUUCUUAAUACUUAGAGAAGCCAGCCUGGGUGCUCAAGAUUUCUAAAGCAGCAGCUGGACCAGCUGUCAAGGGUCAGUAUCAGAUCACAGCAAUUAUCCACUUAAUGUGGCAUUUAUCUGAAACACUAACUCGGUGCAAGGUCAUUUAGACUAACCACCAUUUAUUUCUUGAACAUUUUCCUGAAAGUGGCAAUAAUCAUAAAGAUAAUUUAUUGCAAACGUAAUCAAUUUAAGAAAGAUAAUUAGCAUGAACAAUUAUUGUAGGGAAAUAUUAGCUAUCCAUAAAACAUAUGCCUAAAUCUGUUUCUGGCUCCCUUUGGAAGAGAUUACUUACAUAUGGUUUAUAUGGCAUGCCUCUUGCACAUGUUGAUACUUAAAAAUAUGAACUAGUAUUAUUAAUCUUUUUGUGAAGAACAAAAGAAUUGAGAUCCUCAUUAUCAUAGAUGAUUGAGGUUUUAGAUGAUAAUGGCACUUUAUAUCAAAAGUUCAUCAGAGGAUUUUAAUUGUGAGGCCUGACUAAUCAUGACCACUCUGACUCUUGAUAAUUAUGUAUCAAGAUGGAAGUUUUUAAUGAGUCUUCUUGAUUUUGUUUUUUUUUUUUUUUUUUUUUUUUGGCUGCACCUGUAGCACGUGAAAGUUCCCAGACCAGGAAUCAAACCCAUGCCUUGCUUGUGACCCAGGCUGCCAUGGUGACAAUGCUGGGUGCUCAACCCACUGUACCACGAAGGAACACCCUAAUGAGUCUUCUUGAAAUUAAGGUUACAUACUACCAUUGCGCAUUUGAUACAGGGAAAAAAAAUGCUCUGAAUUCUAAUAUUUGAAAAUGGUCAAAAACCUACUUCUAAGCCUGCUUGUUCUAAAAAUACAUUCUAAGAAUUUAGAUUAGAAGUAGAUGAGCUCAGAAACAGGAAUGUAGGAGUGGUUUUUAGCCAUUAAGAAGGAAGGGUCAUGGGGCCAAUUUAAAUAAUUAACAAAAGAAUUCAGCACGUGCCUUGUAUAAGGAAGGGCCUUCAAAUUCAAAACAAAAGGGUUCUGGUGCAUGCCAGAAGAUCCAAAUGCCUACCUACUAGUUACAACCCCAAGGAAGGCAUUCUGCUGCAAGUUUUUCUAUUCCUCAAGCUCGCCAUGACAGAUGACUUGGAAGAGCAAGUCCAUUCCCAUUUCAGAAUAUUAAACAGGUGGCAUUAAUGGCUCCAUGGUCGAUACCUAACAUCUGUGAUGGGAGCAUGCAAAUGUCCCUGUGUAGAAGCUUCCUCUGAGCUUGUGUAAUCUUCAGAGUUGAUGCUAGAUAAGGAUGACACUGAUUUUCCUGCAAAUUAAUAAUCUCUCUUUCACCCCCGAUUAGUUGGGAAACUGAUCUGCUAUUAGAAAAGCUUUCUGUUCCAUGUCUAAAAUGACUCAGGAAAUGAAGUUAUCUUUUUCAAAAAGAAAGAGAAACUCAGAGUAUGAAGGAUCAGAGAGCUCCAGGCCCUCUAAACCUUCUUCUAGAGUCCAACAGCCCCUGAGAAGAAUCAGCACUUCAAUGGUGGGAUAUACUCUCUCAUCAAUGACAUUUCCAUUUAGCUACAACAAAGUCAGAAGGAAUUUAGGGUACAUUCAGGGGCCAAUUUGAUGCUUGCUGACACACACAUUUGCCCAUGAAAUGUUUGUUGAUGCUUCCCUCAAUGGAUAGCUUUUCUGGAAGCUUGCUUUCCAGAACUGCAGACAGAGAAAUCUGGUACCACCCAAUACACUAUUUCCUUUAAAUAGCACACAUCUUUUGGAGGCAGGACAAAGGACCUGAUAUAUUCAGAUGCUAGGUAGGUGAAAUAGGCUCUGUUAGCUAAUAUUUGGAGCAAAUCCACCUAAGGGCCAAAACAGCACAAGUGAUUACACAUGAGGUAAGAAAAUGCAGGCAUUUUAGGCAAGGCAAGUUAAAACUCUCCUUGCCUGAGGAAUGUCUGCAAGGAGGUGGAGGACAGUGACCUAGGAUUGUUUAAAAACCAUCAAGGGAAGAUGCAGAGUCUCUUGCCCCACCUCUGUUUUCAACCAUAGCUGCUAGAGGGAAGAGACAUACCAGAAUGAGAGUGAAGACCGGAAAAUACGUUAAUUAGGAAAAGGCUGGUAAGGCCCAUUUGAAUUGGACAAUAAGGUGGACACUGAGUCAAAACAUUCACUAAGCCUACACAGCGCUUUUGUUUAGACUAGAAAAGGCACAUACCCAGUGCCCAUGAGUCUGACCUUGGCAAGCUAAGCAAGUAAGUGUGUGAGACAGCACAGCUCAGAAAAUACAGUGUGCAGUAAAUUUUGAUGACAUGGGCUCAGUGCUGAGACCACUACUAAAAUAAAGGAAAAUGGACACAUACUUGCUUAUCUGUACAGUUACCUAUCCUCAGGGGCGAGGACAAACAGCUUACAACUGGAAAGUUAACAGCUCAUAUUUGACUCAAGAAUGUAGCACUUUAUAUUUAGUCUAACAAAUCUGUGGUCUGUUUGGUUCCUAUAAAUCGUGUUGACUCACCCACACAUGCACAAAUACACCUUUCCCCAGCCAGUCUAUAAAAGAAUUCUGUUUUUACACUUGACCUUCCAAUCCCAGCCCUCACCCACCCAACACAUUCAUAGACAUUGGUCUUGGACUCAUCACUCCUGGAUUCCCGUUUAUCCCAUUUUGAGUCUGUUUCUCACCUCUGGUAGAAGAUAACUACCUCUGGACCUUUUGGUUUAUUCCUUAUGGUUUCUUGGUCUUGCCUUCCAGUUGCUUUCUCAACUUGUCUCCAUCUCCUGACUUACGUUAAACUUCCUGCUCUAGAUCCGACCCCCAUAGUGGCCGUCUUUCCUCAUUAUAGUCCCUUAGACUGACACUGGCUGAGAUGGCAUUCCCUUAAUAUCCAACUGUGACAAAGGAGAGAGUUCCAGGCUUGACGUGCAUAAACUAGACACACACAAAGCAUUUGCUGAAAUAUUGCUAAAUGAAUUGAGUAACUGAAUAUAGUCAAUGGUCAUCUCUGGACCGCUGCUUGGUCUUAAAGACUUCUGGAUUUAUCUCAUUUAUUGAGCUUCAAUUAGGGCUUUGUUAAUCAAUCUCUCUCAAAAUCAUAUUAGCUGCAUGGUUAAACCUAUGAUGAGGACAAUUUAUCCAUUGGUAAAUGAGAAAUGAUUGAAUUAGCUCAAGAUGUCUGGACUAAAUUAGCUG
RNAcentral lists this long non-coding RNA (5458 nucleotides) under Sus scrofa (pig). RNAcentral's name for it is "lncRNA (ENSSSCG00000056530.1)". Lineage: Eukaryota; Metazoa; Chordata; Mammalia; Artiodactyla; Suidae. The record is from RNAcentral.